This 1737-nucleotide long non-coding RNA is filed under the name Cyanistes caeruleus (blue tit). RNAcentral describes it as "lncRNA (ENSCCEG00000008352.1)". Lineage: Eukaryota; Metazoa; Chordata; Aves; Passeriformes; Paridae. The record is from RNAcentral.
CCAUAACAUGUGCCUGACACCUCCUGCCACUGCCCCAUAACAUGUGCCUGACACCUCCUCCCAGUGCCCCAUAACAUGUGCCUGACACCUCCUCCCAGUGCCCCAUAACAUGUGCCUGACACCUCCUCCCACUGCCCCAUAACAUGUGCCUGACACCUCCUCCCACUGCCCCAUAACAUGUGCUUGACACCUCCUGCCAGUGCCCCAUAACAUGUGCCUGACACCUCCUGCCAGUGCCCCAUAACAUGUGCCUGACACCUCCUGCCAGUGCCCCGUAACGUGCCUGACACUGCCCCACAACAUGUGCCCAACCCUUCCUGCCACCACCCUCUAACAUACACUAACACCACCCGCCACCACCUCUAUCUGUGCUGCCAGCACCCACCACAGCCUGUCAUUGCCCCAGGCCUGCCGCAGGGUGCGUGGGUAGCAGAUCUAUCCCACCCAGUUGUGAGGGUGGCUGGUCUGUGGGUGACAGGGCAGCAGGCAUCUCUGUCCCUGUGCACAAAGUAUGGGAAUGGCACAUCAUCCAGAGGUGCAACAGCAGUGGAGAGCUCACCUUGAGCAUGAUGCCAGCACAGCCAGCAUCCAAACAUCAAGCAUCCCAACUCCAGUCCCUGAGAGGUGCUGAGACAGGUGGCUUUAAAUUGAUUCCAGAGCUCUGCCUGCAAACCUGCAGCAUCUUUAGCUCCAGUAAUUUAGACCUGACCAAAGCUGUCCAUAGUGAAUUGCUUUGAGUCUCUCCCUGUGGAAAGCAUCCCUUGGUCUUUGAUGGGUCUGUCAGUUCCAAAUGCCUAAGCCUCCUUUCUAGCAGCAGUGAGAUCAUCUUCCCAAAGUGGAAGCAGCAGUGGGCUCAUCUUCCCAAAACAAUCCUUCAGCAAUCCUUGAACAUGCAUCCUGCUGAGAACACACAGCCUGCUAGCCCCACCAAGCUGGGGGGCAUAAAUAUUCCCUCCUGCAGUAAUCAGCAUCUGGGGCUCGAGUAGCUGGCCAAGGUGAGAGUGCAUUGUCUGAGGGGAUGGAGCAAAAUGAGAUGAUCUCAGCUGUUUGUUCAGAUUGGAAAACUGUUGGAGAAAUAAUAUUACCAUUUCAUUGCCAGUGGCCUGGUGUGACCUGCUUUGCUGCAAAUGCUUGUCUUUGGCUCACACUUUCAAGUCCUUUCGACCACAUAUUCAUAAAAUUUCAGGGGAAAAAGAUUCAGAUAAAUCUCUGAUGGAUUUCACCAUUAUUUUCAUGCUGAGUUCUCUGAGAAAAAGACACCCUUCAAGAUAGAUCAAGAGGUGAAGAAUCCAUAACUUCCCUUGGCAAUUUGAUCCAAGGACUAACUGCCCUCUCAGUUAAAUUUUAAUUACUAAUUUCUAAUUUGCAUCUCUCUGGCUUUAUCUGCAGUUCUGCCUUUGCUCCCUCCCCACUCUAUUUCUAAUAGUUGGUAGAAAUGCAGUCCCAUAUUUUCUCAGUUGUUUGGGGGUUUUUUUAGCUAAAUUGGCUAAGCCUAUUAUGGUUGCCAUUGUAAGUAGUAUUGCUAGAGCUCUGGCAAUUUUUAUUCUUUCUAGUAUUUUGACCAGUUCUUCAAUAUACACUCUGAAAAGUGAAGUGUUGAUUUGUACAAAUAUAUUGGAGUUUCAGGCUAGUCAGGAGGACCAUGGACAGAGGAAAAUCCCAUGACCCAUGGGUCCUCUGUUGACAUAUCUAGACAUAUCUAUGACCAUAUUUGCUCUUUUAUUAAGGAUUCACACU